Molecule: long non-coding RNA, 180 nt
Organism: Morus notabilis
Lineage: Eukaryota; Viridiplantae; Streptophyta; Magnoliopsida; Rosales; Moraceae
Exons: 2
Source: RefSeq, a predicted model, not a curated record
UUACAGUUACCACAAUUUUCACAGUGAUCCAGGUUUCAGAACAAGUCUUCAAACCAGAUGCCUUCUGCAGCCUGAUGUUCUACCAAAGUAUCAGGCGACACAUACGCUCAACGGCUUUCUGGAAGUGAUGGGAAUGACACAUACUCAAACGAAGGAUUUCCUACCGUAGAUGAAAGGUAC